RNAcentral lists this ribosomal RNA (255 nucleotides) under uncultured bacterium. RNAcentral describes it as "partial 16S ribosomal RNA". It matches the Rfam family "Bacterial small subunit ribosomal RNA", at positions 524 to 776 of the family's 1533-position model. The record is from RNAcentral.
UACGAAGGGUGCAAACGUUGCUCGGAAUUAUUGGGCGUAAAGCGCACGUAGGCGGCUUAGCAAGUCGGAAGUGAAAGCCCUCGGCUCAACCAAGGAAGUGCUUUCGAAACUGCUGAGCUUGAGUACUUAAGAGGAUCGCGGAAUUCCCGGUGUAGAGGUGAAAAUUCGUAGAUAUCGGGAGGAACACCGGUGGCGAAGGCGGCGACCUGGGGUAGAUACUGACGCUGAGGUGCGAAAGCGUGGGGAGCAAACAGG